Molecule: long non-coding RNA, 1726 nt
Organism: Perca fluviatilis (European perch)
Lineage: Eukaryota; Metazoa; Chordata; Actinopteri; Perciformes; Percidae
Exons: 4
Source: RefSeq, a predicted model, not a curated record
UUUCUCUAUUUUUUUUUUUGAUUUUUGAAAAAAAGCCAAGAAAAAUCCAUAAAUAAUGCUGCCUCCCUGCUUCACAGUGUGUUUUACGGUAAUUGACGUUACUCGGUGCUCCACUUUACUGUCCUUUACGGUAAUUGGCACGUUUUGGCGGGAUGUUAUCACAUCACCCGAUACCCCUAUAGCUAAAUCAAAGACCUCACCUGUUACACGGCAUUUGUUCUCGCCCUUUACAUAACAUUAACAUAACAGUCUAUGCCGUUGACACACAAACUGCCACAGCCUUUCAAGGCCAUUCAUUAAGUUCAACGGGAAAAGGAUUAAGGGAAAUUUCACAGUUCAAGAUCUUCAGCGACCGAGGGAUACAGCCUUGUUCAGAGUCAUUGCCGAGCUGCUAUCAGCAAACACCACGCUGACCUUUGCACCCACUCAGCUUUACAGCAGCUGUACAGACAGUGGAAGCCUCCAGCCCGGUGGGCUUGAUUGCUUUGAGUGACGGCUGCGGUCUUGAAAUGCGCCCCCCCCGCAUCUCUUGGGACUCUGGAUGGAGGAAUGUGGCAGGCUUUGGAAGAAGACAAGCCUGCAGCUCGACGGCCUCCUCCCUCCCAACUAUCCCUGCCUGCUCGCCUUCUCACGCACCGCUAAUCCCAGGCAUCUAUCGAGGGGAUAUGUCGGCUUCAGCCCUCACACCUCUCACACCAUAUGCUGUAAUGUAAAGCAACAUGCCAAGAGACUUAUAGUAAUGGCUACUUUCUCUACCAUCGCCAUAGAAAGCUCUCCCUGCAUUCAGUCUCUUAAGCUUGCUUCGUGGAUAUGUAAUGGCAUAACACAAGUUUCAAAUGAAGGUCUUUUUGCAUAACUUUGCAUUUAUGCCUCUUGUGCCUCUCAUAUUGACUUUGAGCAUGGAAACUCUGUAUUUCACUGACAAGAUUUGUUCUACUUUCUCUAAUGGACAGAAAGAUUUUCAUGUCAAGUUUCAUAAUUUUAAAUUUAAGAAGUUGUGCAACUUUGCACACCCUCUUCUAAAUGCAACCAAUGCCCCCAUUCAUCUGCAACUACUGUACAUCUUUCACUGUGCACCCUCUAUCGUGUGUCUUAUAUAUUAAACAUGAACCAGCUGUGGGAUGUUUUAUAUGGGUAGUCCCUCCAGCUGUGGGAUGUUUUAUAUGGGUAGUCCCUCAUGAGGGGACAAAUCCCCAAAAUAUGGCCUUAUACCCCUCUGUUGGGGGACAUCCUGUGCUGUGUAAAGAGGCAUGGUGAGGUGAUAAUGGUCUGCACACGUUAGUGGACCACUGUGUCAAAGUUCCAAUUAAUGAGGUUCUACUAGUACCCUUGCUGCCACAUGCAGCAUACAAUAGUUACCACAUGGCAAGUCUGUCCAGCCAAGACGGAUUAUGGAUGCCUUGUACAGUGUUGAUUGAGUGGGUUUGGUGGGAAGGGGCAGCACGGGCAGCCCAGCAUGCAAGUCUCUUAAGGCCGCUAUGUGGUUGUACGUAUAAUCGACGGCGUACCCCCGCAGACCCCUCUGCGUCUACGCCGGACCCUACGCCUUAGCCUGACGUGCACCUCUCGAAAAAUGUAACUACACGUCGCUUGGCCGUGGCUAGGUAGCGUUGCGUUUGCCCCUACUCAUUUCCCCUUACUCAGUUCCUGGUUGUCCUUCUCCAUAAACGACAUGAAAUCAAGGAGAGGGUUAACUUUUCCUGCUACAGAUGUCUCACCGUGGUCA